RNAcentral lists this ribosomal RNA (450 nucleotides) under uncultured bacterium. Its description in RNAcentral is "partial 16S ribosomal RNA". It matches the Rfam family "Bacterial small subunit ribosomal RNA", at positions 354 to 796 of the family's 1533-position model. The record is from RNAcentral.
GUGGGGAAUUUUGGACAAUGGGCGCAAGCCUGAUCCAGCCAUUCCGCGUGCAGGAUGAAGGCCUUCGGGUUGUAAACUGCUUUUGUACGGAACGAAAAGGUUCUCUCUAAUACAGGGGGCUGAUGACGGUACCGUAAGAAUAAGCACCGGCUAACUACGUGCCAGCAGCCGCGGUAAUACGUAGGGUGCAAGCGUUAAUCGGAAUUACUGGGCGUAAAGCGUGCGCAGGCGGUGAUGUAAGACAGAUGUGAAAUCCCCGGGCUCAACCUGGGAACUGCAUUUGUGACUGCAUUGCUGGAGUGCGGCAGAGGGGGAUGGAAUUCCGCGUGUAGCAGUGAAAUGCGUAGAUAUGCGGAGGAACACCGAUGGCGAAGGCAAUCCCCUGGGCCUGCACUGACGCUCAUGCACGAAAGCGUGGGGAGCAAACAGGAUUAGAAACCCUGGUAGUCC